RNAcentral lists this long non-coding RNA (2896 nucleotides) under Homo sapiens (human). Its description in RNAcentral is "non-protein coding lnc-CCDC102A-2:4". Lineage: Eukaryota; Metazoa; Chordata; Mammalia; Primates; Hominidae. The record is from RNAcentral.
GGCUAGGGCUCCUCAGGUAGAGUUCUUAAGCUGCCUGUUUCUCAGGUGCCCUAACUGUAAAAUAGGGCUGGCAACAGGACCCGGCCCUUGCCCUUGUGAAAACGAAGCCAGCUGAUACCCAAGGCCUGCCACAGAAUCAGCCCCCAUCCUGAGCCUGCAUCAGCCAAGAAGGAAAAAGGUUCCACAGCCAACUGCAACCAGUGCUUUGCCUACAGGAUAUUCCAUUUGGAGCCCCAGGCCCAUGUGGCCCUUCUGCCAGAGCCAGGGAGCCCACUGCAGCCCUGAGGGCACUCACAUGGACAUGUUCUGGAAGCCUGUGCCAUUCUCCCAGCUGUCGAAGACGGGGAUUGUGCAGGGUGAGAGAAUGGUCCUCCAUGGCCCAGGGACAUCACCCAGGCAGCACUACCCACUGGGUGCAUAGGUGCAUGCCGACAGGGAAACUGAGGCGAAGAAGGGGCAGGGAUCCCACAGCAGUCGCACCACAAGGCUGGUCUCCCGCCUCCUGGUCCCCACCCUCUGGAGAAGCACACCCAGUUCUAGUGGACUAAAUGGGACACAAGGAAGCGUGAUGUGCCACAGUGCAGGGCAGGCCCAGCACUGUGGCAGCGGAAUACCUGAAAUGGAAGUGCAGCAGGACUGUGAUCAGCGAGGCCACGAUGGAGAUGCUGCAGCCCACGAGGGAGAUGUACGUAAGAGGUGCCAGCAACUCUGCAGGGACCAGGGCUGGGGAGAGUUGCUGCAGGAGGGAAGAGGGGCUGGAGGCCAGAAGCAUAGUAUCGCCCUUCCUCCCAGCCUCAGUCAGAGGGACCUCCUGAGGCCUCCUCUCCAAGUCCCCUUCCCCACAAGCCUAGCCAUGGACCUGGCUUGAACAAGGCCAUGGCAGAUACAGUCAGUUUUGCCCCCUCCACAUCUCCCAUCUCCCUCUUCUUCUAUGAGUGCCUCCCUUCUCCCACUCCCUAUGCACCUGUGGGGUUCCACCACUUUGCCCUCUUUGUGCAGAAAGGGGUGCCAGGCCUGGUCAAGCAGGGCCCUCCCUCCUUCUGCCUAUAGCGAUUGGGUCAGGGAUGAGCACAUGGCUGGCAGAACUGGGUAAAAGAAGAUUUUAUUCCACUGGCCUGAAAGCUAGCAGGGCAUGAGCCUGGAACUGCUGCCAGCUAUAUUAUUAUCUCAUAAGGAGAUCCUAUUUGAGGGCUAAGCCAGCACAGAGCAAGCACAGUUGAGGGACAAAGAUAGAGUGCUAUCUUAGUGAUCUUAGUGAUCAGCCCGUGGAUCAAGCCAUGCCUGAAGCCUAACCCAGCCUUUCCAGAAACAUGAGUCCAUAAAGUUUUUUUUGUUUUUUGCUUAAGCCCAUUUCAGUUGGACUUUCUGUCCCUUGCACCAGCUUUUGCCUUGCUCCUCUGCCACAGACACAGGGCCCUCUGUAGCUCUGAGCCCCACUCAGGAUGCAUACAUACCAUGAGAACAGCAAAGUAGGUGAGGUGGUUGCAGCGGCAGAGCACCUGAGAGUGGGAGGGCUGCUCUGUACGACAGCCCUCAGGGCUCCAGCCCCCCCAGGGCUGUUUCCUGGCUCCCUCCUUCCAGAAGACACAGGUCAGGGUGUAGCCUUCCUGGGUGGAGAUGCUGGGUCAGUCAUAGGGUGCAGAGGAAAGGCUGCAGAUCAGUGUCUGGGAGUCCUGGGGGCCAACGGUGACUCAACUGCACAUUUGCCAACAUUUUACCAGGCACUGGCUGGCCUUUGGCUUCAGACAGUCUCAGAUUCCUGUCCCACCUCCACUGUGGGCUCUCAGAGUGACCCAGGCAAGACACCAAGUUGCUCUGAGCCUCAGUUUAGUCAUCUACAGAAUAGGAUCAUUCGUACCCAUGUUACAACAAUGGUGGAAAAACAAAGGGCAACACGGAAUCUUGAGUGUCCAGCUCUGGCCUUUUAUACAGUAGGCGCUCCAUAACCAGCUGAUCCCUUCCCUUCCUCCCCAUGGGGAACAGCAAUGUGCUCAGACCCACGCCUGGUUGGGGGAGACUCAUCCACAGACAACCCUAAUGCCAAGCCACGUGGGUGGAGAAGUGGAGGAAAUGACACAGGUAGUCACGGAAGACCAUGGAGGGUAGGCAGAGCUGACCCAAAGGGAGAAGGGGAGGUGGGGGCCCUGAACCCUUAGAGGACGUGUUGGAUUUCAACACGAGUAGGGCAAGGGCAUUCCAGGUGGAGGGAACCAUAGUGGCAAAAGCCCAGAGCUGAAAGGAAAGGAUGAUGGUGAAAUUUAGAGUGCAGGGCAGUCCUGGUGAAGCUGAAGGGAAGAUGAAGCCAGAAAGCAGAGGCUCCGGGCUUUUCAGGAAUGCCAGGAACCAGAAAUGGAGGCACUGAGGCUUGUGAACCACCCCACUCUGCCCCCACCCCCAACAAGCAGCCCUGUCUCUGUUCCAGGAUCAGCAUCUGCACUUACCCUAGGAGCUCACUCCUUCACCCCAGUCCCUGGGCCGUGUGACCCAGGCCUGGCCAAUCCACACAUUCCAUCCCCCUGGGCACAGUGACAGGUGCAGGGAUGGACAUGUGUGACCCAGCUGAACCUUUAAGAUCCUGAGACCCUGAUCUGCACUGGGGCAGGUUGUGGGUGGGGAGUCGGGGGAAGAGCCUGAUGGGAAGAGGGAAAGGAAGUCUGGCUCUCCAGCAUCCAUCAUGCCACAGAAUGGACAGCCAAGACAGGAGACCAUUGCUGAGACGGAGAGAGACUGAGCCACAAGGGCAUCAGAUCCAUCCCUGGAUCCAGCUAUGUCUGAAGCUGGUGGAUCACCUCUAGACAUUUCAUGGAUGUGUGCCAAUCAGUUCCCUCUGUGCUCAAGCUGGCUUGAAGUGGUCUUUUCUUACUUGCAACUGAAAGAAUUCUGACAAAUGCAUGAG